Molecule: ribosomal RNA, 1342 nt
Filed under: Cellulomonas sp.
Lineage: Bacteria; Bacillati; Actinomycetota; Actinomycetes; Micrococcales; Cellulomonadaceae
Description: bacterial SSU rRNA
Rfam family: Bacterial small subunit ribosomal RNA
Source: RNAcentral
AGCUUGCUGGGGGGAUCAGUGGCGAACGGGUGAGUAACACGUGAGCAACCUGCCCUUGACUCUGGGAUAAGCCUUGGAAACGAGGUCUAAUACCGGAUAUGAGGCGCUCGGGCAUCCGAAGCGUCUGGAAAGAUUUAUCGGUCAGGGAUGGGCUCGCGGCCUAUCAGCUUGUUGGUGGGGUAGUGGCCUACCAAGGCGACGACGGGUAGCCGGCCUGAGAGGGCGACCGGCCACACUGGGACUGAGACACGGCCCAGACUCCUACGGGAGGCAGCAGUGGGGAAUAUUGCACAAUGGGCGCAAGCCUGAUGCAGCGACGCCGCGUGAGGGAUGAAGGCCUUCGGGUUGUAAACCUCUUUCAGCAGGGAAGAAGCGCAAGUGACGGUACCUGCAGAAGAAGCGCCGGCUAACUACGUGCCAGCAGCCGCGGUAAUACGUAGGGCGCAAGCGUUGUCCGGAAUUAUUGGGCGUAAAGAGCUCGUAGGCGGUUUGUCGCGUCUGCUGUGAAAACUCGAGGCUCAACCUCGGGCUUGCAGUGGGUACGGGCAGACUAGAGUGCGGUAGGGGUGACUGGAAUUCCUGGUGUAGCGGUGGAAUGCGCAGAUAUCAGGAGGAACACCGAUGGCGAAGGCAGGUCACUGGGCCGCAACUGACGCUGAGGAGCGAAAGCAUGGGGAGCGAACAGGAUUAGAUACCCUGGUAGUCCAUGCCGUAAACGUUGGGCACUAGGUGUGGGGCUCAUUCCACGAGUUCCGUGCCGCAGCAAACGCAUUAAGUGCCCCGCCUGGGGAGUACGGCCGCAAGGCUAAAACUCAAAGAAAUUGACGGGGGCCCGCACAAGCGGCGGAGCAUGCGGAUUAAUUCGAUGCAACGCGAAGAACCUUACCAAGGCUUGACAUACACCGGAAACUUCCAGAGAUGGUUGCCCCGCAAGGUCGGUGUACAGGUGGUGCAUGGUUGUCGUCAGCUCGUGUCGUGAGAUGUUGGGUUAAGUCCCGCAACGAGCGCAACCCUCGUCCUAUGUUGCCAGCGGGUCAUGCCGGGGACUCAUAGGAGACUGCCGGGGUCAACUCGGAGGAAGGUGGGGAUGACGUCAAAUCAUCAUGCCCCUUAUGUCUUGGGCUUCACGCAUGCUACAAUGGCCGGUACAAAGGGCUGCGAUACCGCGAGGUGGAGCGAAUCCCAAAAAGCCGGUCUCAGUUCGGAUUGGGGUCUGCAACUCGACCCCAUGAAGUCGGAGUCGCUAGUAAUCGCAGAUCAGCAACGCUGCGGUGAAUACGUUCCCGGGCCUUGUACACACCGCCCGUCAAGUCACGAAAGUCGGUAACACCCGAAGCCGGUG